GGAGGGGUGGGUGAGCGGUUGAAACCACCGGUCUUGAAAAUCGGCGACCCGCAAGGGUCCGGGAGUUCGAAUCUCCCCCCCUCCG
RNAcentral lists this transfer RNA (85 nucleotides) under Deltaproteobacteria bacterium. Its description in RNAcentral is "tRNA-Ser". It matches the Rfam family "tRNA". Rfam says of the family: Transfer RNA (tRNA) molecules are approximately 80 nucleotides in length. Their secondary structure includes four short double-helical elements and three loops (D, anti-codon, and T loops). Further hydrogen bonds mediate the characteristic L-shaped molecular structure. tRNAs have two regions of fundamental functional importance: the anti-codon, which is responsible for specific mRNA codon recognition, and the 3' end, to which the tRNAs corresponding amino acid is attached (by aminoacyl-tRNA synthetases). tRNAs cope with the degeneracy of the genetic code in two manners: having more than one tRNA (with a specific anti-codon) for a particular amino acid; and 'wobble' base-pairing, i.e. permitting non-standard base-pairing at the 3rd anti-codon position. The record is from RNAcentral. Lineage: Bacteria; Pseudomonadati; Myxococcota; Myxococcia.